AAGUCGUAACAAGGUUUCCGUAGGUGAACCUGCGGAAGGAUCAUUAUUGAAUGAACUUAGAGUCGGUUGUCGCUGGCUGUCUUUGGCAGCAUGUGCACGCCUUCUCUUUUCAUCCACACACCCCUGUGCACUUGUGAGACUGGAGGCCGUAAAAAAGCCUUCAGUCUGCUAAAUUCAUAUACAAACUCAUUUAAUUGAACUGAAUGUACUUGAUGUAACGCAUCAUUAAACUAAGUUUCAACAACGGAUCUCUUGGCUCUC
RNAcentral lists this unclassified non-coding RNA (261 nucleotides) under fungal sp. Its description in RNAcentral is "partial internal transcribed spacer region". The stretch from base 1 to 46 matches the Rfam family "Eukaryotic small subunit ribosomal RNA", at positions 1786 to 1831 of the family's 1831-position model. The record is from RNAcentral. Lineage: Eukaryota; Fungi.